RNAcentral lists this long non-coding RNA (650 nucleotides) under Vigna radiata. Its description in RNAcentral is "long non-coding RNA (VRAD_LNC017218)". The record is from RNAcentral. Lineage: Eukaryota; Viridiplantae; Streptophyta; Magnoliopsida; Fabales; Fabaceae.
AUUAAUGUUGUUCACCUAAUUCCCAGGCGCUUAGACGUCAGAUAGUCAAACGGCGACGUCUAAGGCCUGUCUGGAAGGCGGGAAGACAAAAAUUCUUCAAUUUAGAUGUCGGUUCUGAACGUAAGCGACGUCUACGUUCCUGUAAUUGAUUAUUUUCACCAAAUUCGAGGGUUUUAGAUGUCGGCUAGGAGGGGCACUGACGUGAACUACCCUGACAGGAAAUCAAACGUCAAUCUUUUCAGCUUCUUUGACGUAGAAUAGAUGUCGAAUCUCCUGAAACACCGACGUCUAUAGACAUCGAUUUCUGGAGCAACCGACGCCCCAUUUCAUUUUAAAUAGACCACAGACUCUUAUCGCCAUUCAAUUUCUAACCGCGUCUUCAUCUCUUCUCCUUUUUCUCUGCUUCUCCUCUUUUUUUACUCGCUUGCACACCUCUACUUUUUAUCUCUUGCGGCAUUGCAUUGUGGUUUCUCAUAACGUCAUUGUCUUCGUCCUCUCCUUUUUCUCUCUUGCAUCCCAGGUGCGUGGUUUAUUUUUAUGCUUUACCGUUUAAACUUUCUUUAGUUUUUUAUCGAUUAUCUUGUCGUUCAACUGAUUAAAAUUUGCUUUCUUUAUGUUGUGUUAAAGUGCAGUUUUGAUCCUUUCUUUGG